This 1587-nucleotide ribosomal RNA is filed under the name Triticum aestivum (bread wheat). Its description in RNAcentral is "partial small subunit ribosomal RNA". The record is from RNAcentral. Lineage: Eukaryota; Viridiplantae; Streptophyta; Magnoliopsida; Poales; Poaceae.
AUGGCUUCCCACCCGUCGCCGCCGCCGCCGCCGGAAUACCCUAGACCACCCGCUGGAACCACCAUAAGCGCCCUCGGCGACGACCAGCUCCGAGAGAUCUUCCUCCGCCUCCCGGACCUCCCCAGCCUCGCCGCUGCCGCCUUCACCUGCCGCGCCUUCCUCAGCGCCGUCCGCUCGUCGCGCGCCUUCCGCCGCCGCUUCCGCGAGCUGCACGCACCCCCGCUCAUCGCUCUCUUCCUCACACCCUGCAUGCACACGGUACCGGCCUUCCCCUCCUCACGGCGCCCCUCCGCCGGAUUCAGUCCCCUCCGAGACCACGCCGCCGCUUCCGAUUCCGAGUGGGGGCUCGAUUUCCGCGACAUUGCCUAUGACGACGGCUUCAUUUGCAUCGAAAACCGGACCACCAAGCAGCAAGUUUUGUACAAUCCCCAAACAGCUGCCCUGAUUCUCCGCCCCAAGGAGGACCACGACAUGCCCUACGGCAGCUCCCUUGAAUUCCACAUACUCUCUCCCGAAGAGGAUCAGAGGCCGUCCCGUGUGGUCUAUGUCCGUCACGACUACUCGUGGGCUUGGGUACGCGUCGCCGUCCUCUCAUCCGACACCAUGGAGUGGCAGAUGUUCCCGGAGACCGCGACGCCGCUGCCCGAGGGCUCCAGGCACGCAGCCAGCACGGUGGUGGAUGGGUUUAUCUGUUGGGAAUUCGUGUCCCUGAACGAGGUAUCUCUCAGCGAGUACAUUUUGGUGCUCAACACAGACACCUUUCAGUUCUCUCGAAUUGAUCUGCCUCCGCCCUUGAGAGUGGUAUACCCAAAAUUUAAGAUUGGUCAGACCAAGGAUCGGAACCUCUGCAUCGUCAUUGAGAAGGAUUGCACGCUUUUUCUUUGGAUCUGCAAAACCGGUGAUGACGGCGUCCAGAGAUUUGUGCUGCACAGUACGUUCCCGUUGCACGCUAGAUUUAUGGAGGUCACCAGCUGUUCAGUGGAAGAUCGAUUCUCAGUGCAGCUUAUGACGGUCUUCAAUGGCUUUGUGUACCUUUCUAUUUGCCCCUGGAAGAGUUUCAGGGAUAAGUACAGAUCCCCUGAGUGGUUCAUGUCCUUCUCUCUGGAAACAGCGGAGCUGAACCAGCAUUUUAAGAACAGAAAGCGAAUUGGCUGCUCUGUCCAUCCCUAUUUGGCCUGGCCUCCUUUGGUAGACAACACGGAGGAUUCAGAAUAUGAAGUUACUGGAAACAGCGUUGGAAGUGUUGGUCCUGAGAGCACAGAAAAGGAUUCAUCGUUUCUUAUAAAAACAUUACGAUCAUUCAAAGAAGCUUUGAUUAAGGAUGAUGAUGCAAAUGUUGCUGAGAUUGAGGCCUUCUUACUUUGCAUUGAUGUCGAUGAUGAGAAGAACUCUCUUGCUAGGAAAAUCAUUGCUUUAGAUGAAAUAUUGAUAACCGUGAGAGAUCGUGUCUUGAGAGCAGGUGCAGACUCUGAAUUCUACAGACUGAGAGCAGGUGCAGAUUCUGAAUUCUACAGACAGAAGACAGAAACAGAGAGCUGGUGGCAAAUGUGCAAGGGGAAGUUAUGGAGAGCUUUCUUCGGUAGCUGA